Molecule: non-coding RNA, 45 nt
Filed under: Trichobilharzia regenti
Lineage: Eukaryota; Metazoa; Platyhelminthes; Trematoda; Strigeidida; Schistosomatidae
Source: RNAcentral
AUCCAGUUGGUGAAUCCCAAAUAGGACGAAAUGCGCAUCCUGGAU